GGACAUUCUUUGGAAAAAUGGCUCUGCAGUAGAUGCUGCCAUUGCUGCGCUGCUGUGCACCUCCAUCAUGCACCCACAGUGCAUGGGGAUUGGAGGCGGGGUCAUAUUCACUGUGAUGGACAGCUCCGGUAAAGUGAAAAUCAUCACCUCCAGAGAGACUGUCCCCAGCAACGUGACCUCUGACCUGCUUAAGUCGUGUCCUAACACCACAGAGUGGACCGUGGAGUGGCCGCACGGUUGGUCUUUUUGUUGGAGUGUGAAAUUGUGCGAGUGAGACCAGUAAAUUCACCUGCAGCGAGCCAGGAUUCAGGAUCCCAGCUGCGAUGGAGGAAGAUCAUGCCCCCCUAUUGAUGAGAUGGGGGUUGGAUGCCUCACAGCCCUCCGCCUCUGGCAGUGGCCCUUUCUACUAAGGAGGCAAGAGUUCUGCAUGUCCUGGUGACCCUCCACCUGUUUCACAGGUCGUUGGACUGUGGCAGGAAGCCGGAGUACAAGGAAAGAACCCACGCAAACACAGGAAGAACAUGC
Astatotilapia calliptera (eastern happy) is the source of this 525-nucleotide long non-coding RNA. NCBI's taxonomy places the organism in Eukaryota, Metazoa, Chordata, Actinopteri, Cichliformes, Cichlidae. The record is from Ensembl.